RNAcentral lists this long non-coding RNA (470 nucleotides) under Homo sapiens (human). RNAcentral's name for it is "non-protein coding lnc-SPAG16-10:1". The record is from RNAcentral. Lineage: Eukaryota; Metazoa; Chordata; Mammalia; Primates; Hominidae.
AAUCGUUUACUUGAUGCAUAUAAUACUUUAAAGAAAUCAGUGCAAGCCCCCAAAGGAAAAAACCAACAGCCAAUAUAUACAAUUUCCCAAUUAUCUUCCUGGAAAAAUUACAAAUCAUCAUAUUCUUUUUCAAGAAUGAAAAAGAGGCUCCACAUUCCUAGUAGAAAGAAAAAAAUAAACAGUAAAGUUAUUUUUUUUCAUAUAUUUGAGUAGAAAAGCAUUGGAAAACAUUUCACCUUGACUGGUUACAAAAUCAAAGAUGUCUUCAAGUUUAAAGCAUACAUGUGCUAUCAGCACAUGUACAAUUACUGAAAACCUUAAUCAACAGAGAAGCUAUCUGAAAAAAAUUAACCUUGAAAUAACCACUGGAAAUAUGAUGAGAUGAACAAUUCAUGAAUGAGAAUUAUUCUCUACAGUGAACUUGAUUAUGGAGAAUAUAGUCUGAAGUCAUGACAAAUCCUUAACAGAUA